AUGGCUACAGCUGGAUUUAAACCCCCAACUUCCAGCAUGCAAGACACACACCUAACCCAUUACACCAACACACCACUUAGCAUUAACUUAAGCUGUGUAGCGGCAAUGCUUGUUAAUAAGACAGAAUUAUGUGUUGAUGUGCUUUCCAAAAUGAGGCCUCAUCUCUCCCUUCAUCUCUGUGGUGCAGGCACAGAGAAGCUAUUCAUGCAGACUGUAGGUUUGGAUUUUUUUUCCCUUAAUAAUAAAAACCUUCAUUUAAAAACUGCAUUUUGUGUUAUCUUUCUCUAGUAUUUCAAUUUGUUUGAUGAUCUGAAACAUUUGAGUGUGACAAACAUGAAAAAAAAUAAGAAAUCAGGAAGGGGGCAAAC
Molecule: long non-coding RNA, 368 nt
Filed under: Lepisosteus oculatus (spotted gar)
Lineage: Eukaryota; Metazoa; Chordata; Actinopteri; Semionotiformes; Lepisosteidae
Description: lncRNA (ENSLOCG00000021535.1)
Source: RNAcentral